AUACGUACUUGACAGAAGAUACACCGUGAUCAAUGAGACGGUGCUCUCAGAGCGAGAUCUCCCCGAUGCACUCCAGGUGGGUUGACCCUUGCAAUUUCCCCAAAUGGGGGAGAAACUCGACCGUAUAAUUUGUGGUCGUGGGAGACCGAUUUCUCGCCCUCCCC
This 164-nucleotide small nuclear RNA is filed under the name Eptatretus burgeri (inshore hagfish). Its description in RNAcentral is "U1 spliceosomal RNA (ENSEBUG00000000274.1)". It matches the Rfam family "U1 spliceosomal RNA". Rfam says of the family: U1 is a small nuclear RNA (snRNA) component of the spliceosome (involved in pre-mRNA splicing). Its 5' end forms complementary base pairs with the 5' splice junction, thus defining the 5' donor site of an intron. There are significant differences in sequence and secondary structure between metazoan and yeast U1 snRNAs, the latter being much longer (568 nucleotides as compared to 164 nucleotides in human). The record is from Rfam by way of RNAcentral. Lineage: Eukaryota; Metazoa; Chordata; Myxini; Myxiniformes; Myxinidae.